This 254-nucleotide ribosomal RNA is filed under the name uncultured bacterium. Its description in RNAcentral is "partial 16S ribosomal RNA". It matches the Rfam family "Bacterial small subunit ribosomal RNA", at positions 524 to 776 of the family's 1533-position model. The record is from RNAcentral.
UACGGGGGGAGCAAGCGUUGUUCGGAUUUACUGGGCGUAAAGGGCGCGUAGGCGGCCAGUGCAAGUCAGUUGUGAAAUCUCCGAGCUUAACUCGGAAAGGUCAACUGAUACUGCUCGGCUAGAGUGCGGAAGGGGCAACUGGAAUUCUUGGUGUAGCGGUGAAAUGCGUAGAUAUCAAGAGGAACACCUGCGGCGAAGGCGGGCUGCUGGGCCGACACUGACGCUGAGGCGCGAAAGCUAGGGGAGCGAACGGG